This 542-nucleotide ribosomal RNA is filed under the name Curvularia aeria. RNAcentral describes it as "eukaryotic LSU rRNA". The stretch from base 165 to 318 matches the Rfam family "5.8S ribosomal RNA". The record is from RNAcentral. Lineage: Eukaryota; Fungi; Ascomycota; Dothideomycetes; Pleosporales; Pleosporaceae.
UUACACAAUUAAAAUAUGAAGGCUUCGGCUGGAUUAUUUUUAUCACCCUUGUCUUUUGCGCACUUGUUGUUUCCUGGGCGGGUUCGCCCGCCACCAGGACCACACCAUAAACCUUUUUUAUGCAGUUGCAAUCAGCGUCAGUAUAACAAAUGUAAAUCAUUUACAACUUUCAACAACGGAUCUCUUGGUUCUGGCAUCGAUGAAGAACGCAGCGAAAUGCGAUACGUAGUGUGAAUUGCAGAAUUCAGUGAAUCAUCGAAUCUUUGAACGCACAUUGCGCCCUUUGGUAUUCCAAAGGGCAUGCCUGUUCGAGCGUCAUUUGUACCCUCAAGCUUUGCUUGGUGUUGGGCGUCUUUUGUCUUUGGCCUCGCCCAAAGACUCGCCUUAAAACGAUUGGCAGCCGGCCUACUGGUUUCGCAGCGCAGCACAUUUUUGCGCUUGCAAUCAGCACAAGGACGGCAAUCCAUCAAGACUACAUUUUUACGUUUGACCUCGGAUCAGGUAGGGAUACCCGCUGAACUUAAGCAUAUCAAUAAGCGGAG